CCUCACCAGGUCCAGACAGAGGAAGGAUUGACAGAUUGAUAGCUCUUUCUUGAUUCUUUGGGUGGUGGUGCAUGGCCGUUCUUAGUUGGUGGAGUGAUUUGUCUGGUUAAUUCCGUUAACGAACGAGACCUUAACCUGCUAAAUAGGAUGCGGGAAUAGGCUUUUGCUGUCCCGUUAUCGCUUCUUAGAGGGACUUUGCGGUUAUAAAUCGCAAGGAAGUUUAAGGCAAUAACAGGUCUGUGAUGCCCUUAGAUGUCCUGGGCUGCACGCGCGCUACACUGAUGCGUUCAUCGAGUUUAUCCUUGGCCGAGAGGCCCGGGUAAUCUUUAGUACGCAUCGUGAUGGGGAUCGAUUAUUGCAAUUAUUAAUCGUGAACGAGGAAUGCCUAGUAUGCGCAAGUCAUCAGCUUGUGCAGAUUACGUCCCUGCCCUUUGA
Molecule: ribosomal RNA, 435 nt
Filed under: Theileria sp. buffeli/orientalis group
Lineage: Eukaryota; Apicomplexa; Aconoidasida; Piroplasmida; Theileriidae
Description: SSU rRNA
Rfam family: Eukaryotic small subunit ribosomal RNA
Source: RNAcentral